Molecule: long non-coding RNA, 789 nt
Organism: Rhineura floridana
Lineage: Eukaryota; Metazoa; Chordata; Lepidosauria; Squamata; Rhineuridae
Exons: 3
Source: RefSeq, a predicted model, not a curated record
CAAGCAUGUUCAUUUGCCACACCUGGAGUGGCAAUGGGGGUUGAUGGCCAAUCUCUUUUGAAGUCUGUGUGAAGCUGACUUCAAGGUAAAAUGCGCUUGAGCUGCAAAAGAACUUAACAAGGUGGCCUGGUUAUCACGGGAGUGGAUUCGAUUAGUGCAACGUGGAGCAGACUCUCUCUCCUCGCCUUCUUUUUCAUUAACUAACAGAGCUUUGUUCCUGAUGUUGCUAUUUUUGUGGCUGACGCAGCAUGCGGAGGAGGGAGCCAUUCCCACUACAAAGGGAGGUGAACUUCAUAGAGCUCCUAAUGAUGAAGCAGCCAACAUUGGACUACUUGCCUCUCACAUUAUGGUGAUGAUCUUUAUUAGCAUAGAAAUGAAGAUCCAGCUAACUCACUAUUCUGAAAACUAUGUUAACAGGUCAUCUCAAGACAUUUUGGUCCCGGGGAGAAUAUCCCCUCACUUUUCCUUUCCUCUGCAUUGCACAGAUCUGUAUCUCCAAAAUAAACACUGACAGACAUGAUUUUUUAAAAAAUGUAUAACUAUGGGUGAAGUGAGGAGCCUAACCUGCAAUAAUGAUUGGGAAUAUAAGGUGUGAAGGUGUGAUAUGCUGUAUUCUUGGAUAUAGAUCACUGCAUAAUUAGCAGUAGUUUUCUUUUUCUUUCUUUCUUUCUUUCUUUCUUUCUUUCUUUCUUUCUUUCUUAAAUGUAUCCCUCCCCCUCCAAAUACAUGGACAAUAUACAGAGAAAUAGUAAAAGCUCAAUAAACGCUAUAAAAGCAGCAUCCAAUAAA